UAUCAAUUCCAGGUUGUUAUUUUUUUCCCACUUUUGUUUUUCAUUGUGGAAGACAGACCAAUGUUUUUGGCACAUUGCUAUGAAUUUCCCUAAGGUUUUCAAUCAAGCUAUGUUCCAGAGCUCUAUGAUAUUGUGAUGUCAUCUAGCACCUAGAUGGAAUCCUGCUUUUGCUUCUACCCUAUGAAGGAUUCAUAUACUACACUGAACAUUUGGUAACAUAGUUUUGCUUCACUUGAUCUGAAUACUCAGCACUUGGGGAAAAAAAUAGAUUUUUAACAAAACAGACUAGACUUAAGAGAAUUACUACAAUCAAACUAAAGCCAGGAGCUAAAGCCUAGAGGCUGUCUUCUUGGUACAUCAAAAGCCCAUUUCAAUAGCUGCUUCAUCUUCUUCUAUGUACUCAGGAUCUU
Phascolarctos cinereus (koala) is the source of this 410-nucleotide non-coding RNA. The record is from RefSeq and is a predicted model, not a curated record. Lineage: Eukaryota; Metazoa; Chordata; Mammalia; Diprotodontia; Phascolarctidae.